UGUUGCAUUGUUCAGGGAGAGUUUGUUUGGGAGAGAGGUCAGCAAAAACAGCGUGACGAGCAGGAACAGGAGGUGUGUUACUGUAUUUUACAAUAGAUCGCACACUUAUUAGAAGCACAAAGCAGAAAGAGUUAUUGAAAGUACAGGAAGGGCAGAGAGGGGGCCGUCGAGGGGGAGGAAACAGCUUCAAGACUGACGCCUGCACCCUGACAAGAGCAGGAACGUCCAAAAAACACUGUUUUGUUUCUCCUACUGUAAUGAGAAAAUCUUUGGAACCAUAAAUCUACCCUCAGGAUGAACUUUGCUGCACUUUGAAACCUCACCACAGGAACGCAGAGUGGAAAAACCUCGACUCUGUUCAACUGUUUGUCUCCUUUUUGCAUCGCUGCAGGCGUCAUGGAUGUGCAGAAUUUCCUGUGCUGGAGAGUUGCCCCACUGUUUCUCUUGAUGACUUGUGGGCUCCAUUCCAUGUCUGUGCACAUCAUCAAUGAGGAGCCUGUGCAUGUAAUCCCCGGCUCUAGUCUGGUUUUGAAGGCCCGGAUUGAUCAGGGUCCCCUGGAGGCGGUUUCCAUGGUGACCUGGGAGCGGAAGCCCGAAACUGGAAGUCCUCCGGUGAGGGUGACACUGGCCACUUGCCCGGGCAGGAGCCCCCAGUGCACUGAUUCAAGGCCAAACAUCCACGUGAGCGUGGAGCAGCAGGAGACGACACUGGAGAUUAAUGGAUACAGCAGAGCAGACAGCGGCGUGUACGCCGUGACUGUGACAGAUCACACCGGAGCCAACAUCACUGCAUACUGCAUCGUCAGAGAAUACGAAGCUGUUCAUCAUGUUACUGUCAGCAUCAACAUGUCUCACUCUGUGCUGGUGUGUGGGGAGGCCUGGGGGACGGAGCCUCACUUCAGCUGGCUGUACGAGAGAGCCGCCAUCAGCCAGACAGUGGGGAGGGUCUCCAAGGAUGGAACCACGCUGUUUGUCAUGAAGUCUCCCAUAUGUGGCCACUUCACCUGCACGGUUAGCAACAAGCUGGGCUACAGCUCUGCCACCUACACGGCAGCACCUUGUGGGACUCAAGGCAGAGGGAUGACGGUGGCAGUGGUCUGUCUCGUCUUUGUACUUAUGGUGUGUGCAGGAGUGUUUGCAUUUCUUCUGUGGAGGAAACGCCGGCACAAUAACAGGGGAGAGAGACUGCAUGAACAUUUAGAUGACACCUUCUAAAAUAAGGCCAUUGCCAUUUCUCAGAGGAGAACGAGAAACACAACACGGACUAUAAGGGAGGACCUUCCUGUCCUGUGAGCCGGGAUAAUAUCUCCACGAGUGCUACCUGGGAUUACCUCCGGACCUGUCCAUUCUAUCCACGGUCGCCUCGUCAGCUGUUCAUGCCCGCUCAGCCUUCACAGAAGCCUUCCAGCCACGCCACGACUUCUUCCUACUCACCUGCAGCCUCAACCCGAAAACCCCUCGCCUUUGCAAGAAAAAUAAAUCAAACUACUUACCAUAAACUUUCCCGGUUUUCCUUCCGGGUUCUAGCAUCUGGGUCGGUUUCAAAGUCUCGGAUACCAUGACACACUUGUUGCUAUUGCAUUUAUUCCUGAAAAAAAACAUCACAUAUGCAUUACAUUCUACAUGAAUCCUGGUCAAAGAAAUAAACAAACUUUGACUCUUAAAGUUAACUGUGAUAAACGUCUCAAAGCCUAAAUUGUCAGUUUUGUUGUGAACGUGGAGGAAAAACUGUUGUUGACUUGUAUUUGCCACAUUCAUGAGCCUCUGCAACCUUUAUUUGAUCUUGCUAGUCUUCAGAUUCUUUUAUUUUAAUUCCUUUAGCUUAAAAACACAACAUAAAAAAGGUUCAAGCUGUCACUGUGUAUACUGUUUUUUUUUAAACUUUUCUUUGUGUUCCUUUUUUAUCUUUGAAAACAGCAGCUUGACAAACUGUAAAAUUGCAGUUUUAGUACCCAUUGUAUUGUUUUAGGAUUAAACACAGCCAUGUUUAGAAACACCAGCAGUUUGCCUUUACUUUUUUACUUUUCUUUACUUUUCUGUUGGUCAUGUCGUGUAAUUGUUUUCAUGCAUUCAUGUUCAUGCUUGUUUCGUUUUCUUUUUAUUUCAUUAAAAAUUCGUGGAUGUUGCAAUCUUA
Oryzias latipes (Japanese medaka) is the source of this 2134-nucleotide non-coding RNA. NCBI's taxonomy places the organism in Eukaryota, Metazoa, Chordata, Actinopteri, Beloniformes, Adrianichthyidae. The record is from RefSeq and is a predicted model, not a curated record.